UAAUUCGUUAGGUUGGCAAACCGGAAAAAGGGGAAGUGUCAGGUAGGCCAACCGUCGAAUGGUCCCCUCCACGUGGUCGUCCCGGAUGACGACGGCAACGACAUUCGGGUCGUGACGAUCGUGGCGAGUGCACGCUAAGCUAGCUCUGUGACGAACGCACCGCGUUUCUUAGAAUAAAAUUGUGUCUACUUAAAUUCUAAUCCGCUUACAUCUAAGUAAUCACAGUUGAUUUUCGUAUUGUUUGAAUUGGAAUCUAAUUAUAAAAAUCUUAUCCAACGUUACCAAGUUUUAUUUUGGAAUUCGUUUCGGUUUUUAUCGAAAAAUAGUUGUGUGCCAAAAAUGGAUGAAAUCGAUAAUAAUGGGAACCCAGACGGGGACCCGACAUCCGAAGUGGUGGGAUCCAAUCGCCCGCAAUCUCCGCGCCUGCCGGCAAGACGAAGUGGUGAUCAAAAGUGGCGGCUAUUGAUGGAACAGCAGAAUCGGAAUUUCUUAGCUCUAUUGGAAACUUUGAACAAGCCGCAACAGUCAACAUCAAAGGAAAUUCGUCUGCCAGAAUUUGAUCCUGACAAACCAGAUGUCGACGCACGAGCCUGGGUAUCCACCGCCGACAUGUGCAUCGAUGAUCCACAAUGCCAAGGAACACCUUUAAUGAUGGCACUGAGUCGAGCGCUUAAGAAGCAAGCGUCCACCUGGCUUGCCACCGUCGCCUUCCCAGGAAUGAAAUGGAGCGACUUCAAAGAACUUUUUAUUACAAGGUAUGACUCAUGUGAAACAGCAGCUGCUUUCUUAAUUAAUCUGAAUUCGAAGAAACCAGACGAAAAAGAAUGCCUCGCUUCCUACGCAUCCGGUUUAAUGUCGUCACUUAUGUCGAGAUGGAAAGGACUUACUACCGAGCAAAUAGCCAUCGCUACUGUUUUGAAUCACUUAUCACGUUUUGAGCCACGUGUUCAACGGUUGUCAUUUACAACGGAUAUCAAGACCCGAAAUCAACUACAACAGGAGCUUAAGGCAGUCUCGUUUUUGAAACGGAAAUCUUCAUCGAGUAAUGACGACGAUGAGCCUGAGCCUAAGAAGAGUCAAAUAGCUGGAGUCAACACAAACAUUAAGUGCUACUUUUGUGGAAAAUUAGGACACAAGUCAAAUCAGUGUUUUUCAAAAAGAAAAGAAGAAAACCGACUGAAGAUUGACGCUAUCAGGAAGGAUCCAACUGCAGAGAGGCCAAUCACUUGCUUCUCGUGCCGCGAGCAGGGCCACUACGCAAGCAGCUGUCCGAAGAGGAGUGCACCAGGGGAGAGCAGCACCGAGCCGACAGCCGCCAAGAAGAAACGAGUGGACUUAUGCGUCGUUGCUAACCCAACUGCACUCAUGCGACUAUCCGGUGAGCACUUUUCAUUCUGUUAUGACUCUGGAGCUGAAUGUUCACUAGUCAAAGAAUCUGUUGCAUGCAAGUUUAGCGGGAAACGACUUCAUGACGUUGUGACUAUGACUGGUAUAGGGCAGACUGACGUAAACUCUACUACACAAAUAUUGACGAUUCCGAUGCACAAACAGAUUCUUUGUCUUUAGAACUGAAUUGAACUUGUAUUUAUGUUGGUAUAGCUAAUGUAAGUGUAAUUAUUUAUUGGAUAUUAAAUAUUAGCUGGUUGUUAUUAUCGGUCGCCCUUGGAGGUUGUCCAUGAGGUUAUGUCGAUGACCAUCGGUCGCCUCUAGGGGUUGUCCAGGAAAAGCCGGAUGGAGGCGAAUAUCGGUCGUCUUUAUGGGUUGUCCAUGGGGUUGCCAAGAGGUAACCCAUCGGUCGCCUAUAGAGAUUGUCCAGGAGAAGCCGGAUGGAGGCGAAUGUCGGUCGUCCUUAUGGGUUGUCCACGGGGUUGUCAGCAAGAGCAACCAUCGGUCGCCUGUACGUCACACGAGGACGUGUGAGAUGUCAAGAUGGCCGUGUCGACGAGUUAGCUAGUAUCGCAACUCGUACUAGAUUUAAGGGUCAAUUAAUUACUCUCUGAGCAGAGCAGCGCCAUCUAUGUUAACCUGCAUUGAUUUCUUGCCAAUUGAUUUUAUCGCCAUCUACCGGUGACCGCUAGAAACGCCAAGCGGUAAGCUUGGGUGUGGUCGAUACAGAGCUAGCGCUGGUAAUUCGUUAGGUUGGCAAACCGGAAAAAAGGGGAAGUGUCAGGUAGGCCAACCGUCGAAUGGUCCCCUCCACGUGGUCGUCCCGGAUGACGACGGCAACGACAUUCGGGUCGUGACGAUCGUGGCGAGUGCACGCUAAGCUAGCUCUGUGACGAACGCACCGCGUUUCUUAGAAUAAAAUUGUGUCUACUUAAAUUCUAAUCCGCUUACAUCUAAGUAAUCACAGUUGAUUUUCGUAUUGUUUGAAUUGGAAUCUAAUUAUAAAAAUCUUAUCCAACGUUACCAAGUUUUAUUUUGGAAUUCGUUUCGGUUUUUAUCGAAAAAUAGUUGUGUGCCAAAAAUGGAUGAAAUCGAUAAUAAUGGGAACCCAGACGGGGA
This 2505-nucleotide unclassified non-coding RNA is filed under the name Leguminivora glycinivorella. RNAcentral describes it as "uncharacterized LOC125235029, transcript variant X2". The record is from RNAcentral. Lineage: Eukaryota; Metazoa; Arthropoda; Insecta; Lepidoptera; Tortricidae.